AUCCUUUUCAGGUUUAUAAGUAUGAUGAUUGGGUGUUCACACAUUUGUGUGACAUGUGCCUCCCUUAAAUAUUAUUAUGCACUUGGCACAUUACACAUCUAAAG
Small nucleolar RNA from Sorex fumeus (smoky shrew), 104 nucleotides. RefSeq annotates it as small nucleolar RNA U13. The record is from RefSeq and is a predicted model, not a curated record. Lineage: Eukaryota; Metazoa; Chordata; Mammalia; Eulipotyphla; Soricidae. The transcript has a single exon.